AGCACUAAUUUACAUCACACGGAUGGUACUUAAAACCCAGGACUGUGACUCAGCAACUAUAGUCAGCCAAUACCACAACCUGAAAUCAGACCAGGACUCAGAAAGCUGCAAUGGGAACUUCAGAAAAAGAAAAGAGUCUGAGGGCAUCAAAGAAACAAAUGCUCCCAAGUGAUUAAAAAAAACCAAGGAGGGACUACAAGAAACUUCCAAAGACAGCCCUUUGACCUAGGGAAAAUCCAAGCUGAUCCAUAUGGGAUUGAAGUUCCAAAACAAGAACCAGUCAUCUUUAUACAGAAGCUGAUUAUCAAAUGAAAUGUCCAUUUGGCCGUUUAAUUUGUCCGGGAAUCUGUGUGUUGGGCAGAAAUAAAUAUGUGUUGAACAGCUUGCA
Pantherophis guttatus is the source of this 388-nucleotide non-coding RNA. Lineage: Eukaryota; Metazoa; Chordata; Lepidosauria; Squamata; Colubridae. The record is from RefSeq and is a predicted model, not a curated record.